This 276-nucleotide long non-coding RNA is filed under the name Setaria viridis. RNAcentral describes it as "long non-coding RNA (SVIR_LNC002386)". Lineage: Eukaryota; Viridiplantae; Streptophyta; Magnoliopsida; Poales; Poaceae. The record is from RNAcentral.
UACAAGAUCUGCCGUUCAGCCUUCGGAGGUUUUCAUAGUGUAAGAUUGUGUGCAUAUAUUCAUAGAAUGGCUGAGUAUACGUGCGGGGGAGACCAUGUUUCGCGAAAAGAAACUAUAACACAAAGGAAAUUAAGGGGAGAUACGGAUGAGUGGGAUAAAAAGGAGAGGUGCCCGGAUGAAUGGUAAAAACACAAAAUUUGACUGUUUACCAUCAAGCCUUGUCACCUACACACUGGAUCGAGUGAGAUACGCUGUUGCAGGGGCUCUGAAUCGAAG